GGCACCUGCCGAGCAGGUGUACUGAGCGCGGGACCCGCCUCCCUGCUGCGCAUGGGGCUCUUUAGAAGCAAGCUGGGGGGGGGGGGAGGGACGUUCCGCCAUCCCUCCUCCACCCUCCUCCCCCUUCCUCCUCCUCCUCCUCCCCUCCUCCCCCUCCCCCUCCUCCCUCCUCUUCCUAGUUCUCCUCCUCCCCCUUCCCCUUCCCCCUCCUCCCCUUCCCCUCCCCUCCUCUCCUUCCCCCUCCCCCUCCUCCCCCCUCCUCCUCCCCCUUCCUCCUCCCCCUCCUCUUCUCCCCCCCUCCUCUUCUCCCCCUCCUCCUCCUCCCCCUCCUCCUCCUAGUCCUCUUCCCCUUCCUCCUCCUUCUGGUCCUCCUCCUCCCCUCCCCCUCCUCCCUCCUCCUCCCCCCUUCCUCCUCCUCCUCCCCUCCUCUCCUCCCCGUCCUCUCCUCCCCAUCCUCCCUUUUCCUCCUCCCCCUUCCUCACUCCUCCUCAUCCUCUCCCUCCCCCUCCUCCCCUUCCUCCUCCUUCUGGUCCUCCUCCUCCCCCUCCCCCUCCUCCCUCCUCCUCCCCUCCUCCCUCCUCCUCCCCCCUUCCUCCUCCUCCUCCCCCUCUCCCCCUUUCUCCUCCUCCCCCUCUUCCUCCCCCCUCCUCCUCCUCCCCUCCUCUCCUCCCCGUCCUCUCCUCCCCCUCCCCCUCCUCCCCUUCCCCCUCCUCCUCCCCCUCCCCUCCUCCCUCCUCCUCCCCUCCUCCCUCCUCCUCCCCCCUUCCUCCUCCUCCUCCCCUCCUCUCCUCCCCGUCCUCUCCUCCCCCCUCCCCCUCCUCCCCUUCCCCCUCCUCCUCCCCCUCCCCCUCCUCCCUCCUUCUCCCCCUCCUCCCCUUUUUCCUCCUCCUCCCCCUCCUCCUUCUCCCUGAGUCCCGUGGCAGGUGUGCAGAAUCCCAGUGCCCAUCUCCAGGCCUUCCCGAAGGCCCAUCGCUGGAGGCUGCAUGGACCCCCUUGUGGCCAUGGCUCAUACCCUCACCACGCGCCCUCACCACGCGCUCCCGACCACCCCAGGCCUCGCAGAGGACCCCGCCGCCUCCCUUCCGCAGCCCCGCAGACCUUGCCACCAGGAUGGCCUGGCCGGUCCUGCGCCGCCUGCAUACACAGGGAUCCCCUCAGUAUCCCGAGCUGCGUGCCCGCUCCUGCUGGUG
RNAcentral lists this long non-coding RNA (1190 nucleotides) under Canis lupus familiaris (dog). RNAcentral's name for it is "lncRNA (ENSCAFG00040011983.1)". The record is from RNAcentral. Lineage: Eukaryota; Metazoa; Chordata; Mammalia; Carnivora; Canidae.